This 253-nucleotide ribosomal RNA is filed under the name uncultured bacterium. RNAcentral describes it as "partial 16S ribosomal RNA". It matches the Rfam family "Bacterial small subunit ribosomal RNA", at positions 524 to 776 of the family's 1533-position model. The record is from RNAcentral.
GACGUAGGAGGCAAGCGUUGUUCGGAAUUACUGGGCGUAAAGCGUCCGUAGGCGGGCGGGUAAGAGGAUAGUUAAAUCCCGGGGCUUAACCCCGGAGCUGCGUUUGGAACUGCGAAGCUUGAGUCUCGGAGAGGAUGGUGGAAUUCUGAGUGUAGAGGUGAAAUUCGUAGAUAUUCAGAGGAACACCGAUGGCGAAGGCAGCCAUCUGGACGAGUACUGACGCUGAGGCGCGAAAGCGUGGGGAGCAAACAGG